Molecule: ribosomal RNA, 688 nt
Filed under: uncultured bacterium
Lineage: Bacteria
Description: bacterial SSU rRNA
Rfam family: Bacterial small subunit ribosomal RNA
Source: RNAcentral
GAGUUUGAUCCUGGCUCAGAUUGAACGCUGGCGGCAGGCCUAAGACAUGCGAGUCGAACGGUAACGACACUAGCUUGCUAGUGGUCGACGAGUGGCGGACGGGUGAGUAACGCGUAGGAAUCUACCUAGUAGUGGGGGAUAGCCAAGGGAAACUUUGGGUAAUACCGCAUACGAUCUAAGGAUGAAAGGGGGCCUCUCUUUGAAGCUCUCGCUAUUAGAUGAGCCUGCGUAAGAUUAGCUUGUUGGUGGGGUAAUGGCCCACCAAGGCGACGAUCUUUAGCUGGUCUGAGAGGAUGAUCAGUCACACUGGAACUGAGACACGGUCCAGACUCCUACGGGAGGCAGCAGUCGGGAAUAUUGGACAAUGGGGGAAACCCUGAUCCAGCCAUGCCGCGUGUGUGAAGAAGGCCCUAGGGUUGUAAAGCACUUUUAGUAGUGAGGAAGGCUCAGUAGUUAAUACCUACUGGGAUUGACGUUAGCUACAGAAAAAGCACCGGCUAAUUUCGUGCCAGCAGCCGCGGUAAUACGAAAGGUGCAAGCGUUAAUCGGAAUUACUGGGCGUAAAGCGCGCGUAGGCGGCUUGGUAAGUUGGAUGUGAAAGCCCCGGGCUCAACCUGGGAACUGCAUCCAAAACUGCCUAGCUAGAGUAUGGUAGAGGAUGGCGGAAUUUCCUGUGUAGCGGUGAAAU